AGAGUCCUGAUGUGUUCGUUAAUACCGAAUGUUUUGAGCCAACACUUUUUAAUCGGGAGCUGGUGUUUUGACAAAGCGUGCACGCCUCCUUGCAGGGGACGCAUUAAUUGCCGAACAGGGCACCCACCUGCGAGAGCAGGUUCAAAACUUAGGAAGUGACGGCACAGUUGGGACUCUC
Non-coding RNA from Fictibacillus enclensis, 178 nucleotides. It matches the Rfam family "6S / SsrS RNA". From Rfam's summary of the family: E. coli 6S RNA was the first non coding RNA to be sequenced, but its function was unknown until recently. The record is from Rfam. Lineage: Bacteria; Bacillati; Bacillota; Bacilli; Caryophanales; Fictibacillaceae.